CGUAUGACCGCCCCGGUGGCCUGGUGGUUAGAGCGUCCGCCUCGAAUGCGGGAGAUCGCAGGUUUGAACCCCGGCCGAAUUAUACGA
Potamilus streckersoni is the source of this 87-nucleotide non-coding RNA. The record is from the annotation of a GenBank genome assembly. NCBI's taxonomy places the organism in Eukaryota, Metazoa, Mollusca, Bivalvia, Unionida, Unionidae.